Molecule: ribosomal RNA, 301 nt
Filed under: uncultured bacterium
Lineage: Bacteria
Description: partial 16S ribosomal RNA
Rfam family: Bacterial small subunit ribosomal RNA
Source: RNAcentral
CAGUAGCCGCGGGAAUACGGAGGGGGCUAGCGUUAUUCGGAAUUACUGGGCGUAAAGCGCACGUAGGCGGAUCAGAAAGUCAGAGGUGAAAUCCCAGGGCUCAACCUUGGAACUGCCUUUGAAACUCCUGAUCUUGAGGUCGAGAGAGGUGAGUGGAAUUCCGAGUGUAGAGGUGAAAUUCGUAGAUAUUCGGAGGAACACCAGUGGCGAAGGCGGCUCACUGGCUCGAUACUGACGCUGAGGUGCGAAAGCGUGGGGAGCGAACAGGAUUAGAUACCCCAGUAGUCCCUGUCUCUUAUAC